UCCGGUUUGUCACCGGCAGUCUCCCUAGAGUUCCCGACCGAAUCGCUGGCAAAUAGGGACAGGGGUUGCGCUCGUUACGGGACUUAACCCAACAUUUCACAACACGAGCUGACGACAGCCAUGCACCACCUGUCACGGGCCCUUACGGACACUGUGUUUCCACAGUUUUUCCCGUGAUGUCAAACCCAGGUAAGGUUCUUCGGGUUGCAUCGAAUUAAGCAACAUGCUCCGCCGCUUGUGCGGGCCCCCGUCAAUUCCUUUGAGUUUUAGCCUUGCGGCCGUACUCCCCAGGCGGGGCACUUAAUGCGUUAGCUACGACACCGAAUCCGUCUAUAGACCCGGCAUCUAGUGCCCAUCGUUUACGGCGUGGACUAC
This 375-nucleotide unclassified non-coding RNA is filed under the name uncultured bacterium. Its description in RNAcentral is "contains 16S-23S intergenic spacer region". The record is from RNAcentral.